This is an RNA transcript of Bombus terrestris (buff-tailed bumblebee), 1137 nucleotides long. RefSeq lists it as uncharacterized. Lineage: Eukaryota; Metazoa; Arthropoda; Insecta; Hymenoptera; Apidae. The record is from RefSeq and is a predicted model, not a curated record. The transcript is spliced from 3 exons.
UAUCGAUAUAGGUGAAACGUGGAGAAGAUAAUUUGCAAUCAUUGCGGACAAUAUCGCAGUGACAUUAUUAUCAAUCGGCAAUAUUAAAGAUAAAAUUCAUAUGGGAUGAAAACAGAGCGUCAAAAGUGGUUAUUUUCCGAUCUUCUUGCGAAGGGAAGAAUGUUUAAGAACGGCUCUCAGCAAGGAAUAAAAAAUGUUAUUACAGUUCCAUUUUCGUGUUCGUUUUUUUUCUACAUGAUCCAUGUGAAAUAAUUCUUCAGAUGCUCUGCUGGUAAAUGAAUCGACGAUUGUAAUAGAGGAAAUAUGAAGUACAGCGAGAUCGUUGUUGAUUAUUGUUCUACACCGAUAUCGACAAAAUAAUUCUUCGACAACUCUAUUGAUAAAUCAAUUGUAGUUUGAAAUCAAACGAAUCUGAAGUACCAUUAGUUUGUUGCUACGAGAACAAUAGCCACCAACGAUCUCGCAGUAAUUCUGAUUCGUUCGAUUUUAAACUUCAAUUGUUUUACCGUGUAGCGCGUAAGUUUGACCUCUGCUUAAUUUUUUCAUCUCUACACUCAUCUUUUUCAACUUCCAUGUCACAUUUCGUAUAAAUGCUAAUAAUUCUUUGUUUUUUUUUUUUUUUGAUAAAUUCUCUUAAACGUCGCACAAGAAUUUUUCGUUCGCGAGGAGGUGCAAAAAUGGCCACUUUUUGACUUAAGUCAAAAUUUGCAAAUUUGGGGUUAGCCCCAACUUAACCACACUUUUAAUCCAACAUGAAUUUUAUUUUAAUAUUACUGAUCUCUGAUGGUGGAUCUGCGAUACUGUACUUAAUGAUUAACGAAGCUCAUUCUCUGGAGUGAAACUUUUAGUUUCUCUUUCUUACGCGAUAAAGGAGAGGUAUUUGGUAGCGCAAUUGAGAAGAUGUUAACGGCGCAAAAGGGAAACGAUACGGGGGCUUCCGGGUCGAGCGGAAAGCCCUCGGUAUUUCCGAACAAACCAAUGUCAGGCAAAGUGACAAAUUGGUUUUCAAAUACCAAGAAUCAAAAUCGGAAUCAGACGGAAUCCAGCGAACCGUCUCUCUGUUCUUCCCUAAAGGACCUAUUCAACAAUUAAUGGGGAAGAACAAAUGCUAAUAAAUGUUAAGUGUCUCUAGUUUAA